Molecule: ribosomal RNA, 490 nt
Filed under: uncultured bacterium
Lineage: Bacteria
Description: partial 16S ribosomal RNA
Rfam family: Bacterial small subunit ribosomal RNA
Source: RNAcentral
AUUGAACGCUGGCGGCAGGCUUAACACAUGCCAGUCGAGCGGUAGCACAAGAGAGCUUGCUCUCUGGGUGACGAGCGGCGGACGGGUGAGUAAUGUCUGGGAAACUGCCUGAUGGAGGGGGAUAACUACUGGAAGCGGUAGCUAAUACCGCAUAACGUCGCAAGACCAAAGAGGGGGACCUUCGGGCCUCUUGCCAUCAGAUGUGCCCAGAUGGGAUUAGCUAGUAGGUGGGGUAAUGGCUCACCUAGGCGACGAUCCCUAGCUGGUCUGAGAGGAUGACCAGCCACACUGGAACUGAGACACGGUCCAGACUCCUACGGGAGGCAGCAGUGGGGAAUAUUGCACAAUGGGCGCAAGCCUGAUGCAGCCAUGCCGCGUGUGUGAAGAAGGCCUUCGGGUUGUAAAGCACUUUCAGCGAGGAGGAAGGUGGUGAACUUAAUACGUUCAUCAAUUGACGUUACUCGCAGAAGAAGCACCGGCUAACUCCGUG